GAGUGCUAUAGCUCUUUUAGAAUUUGUCCAGCAGGCUUUCCAGUUUCCCCA
Molecule: small nuclear RNA, 51 nt
Organism: Chlorocebus sabaeus (green monkey)
Lineage: Eukaryota; Metazoa; Chordata; Mammalia; Primates; Cercopithecidae
Gene: U7
Rfam family: U7 small nuclear RNA
About the family: Animal histone pre-mRNAs are spliced by a different mechanism than nuclear pre-mRNAs and self-splicing introns. This processing involves the U7 snRNP, which contains only one RNA species: U7.
Source: Ensembl